This 253-nucleotide ribosomal RNA is filed under the name uncultured bacterium. Its description in RNAcentral is "partial 16S ribosomal RNA". It matches the Rfam family "Bacterial small subunit ribosomal RNA", at positions 524 to 776 of the family's 1533-position model. The record is from RNAcentral.
UACGUAGGUGACAAGCGUUGUCCGGAUUUACUGGGCGUAAAGAGCGCGCAGGCGGUCGUUCAAGUCGAGUGUGAAAGCCCCCGGCUCAACUGGGGAGGGUCAUUCGAUACUGUUCGACUCGAAGGCAGGAGAGGGAAGUGGAAUUCCGGGUGUAGUGGUGAAAUGCGUAGAUAUCCGGAGGAACACCAGUGGCGAAGGCGACUUUCUGGCCUGUUCUUGACGCUGAGGCGCGAAAGCUAGGGGAGCAAACAGG